Odocoileus virginianus texanus is the source of this 1850-nucleotide non-coding RNA. The record is from RefSeq and is a predicted model, not a curated record. NCBI's taxonomy places the organism in Eukaryota, Metazoa, Chordata, Mammalia, Artiodactyla, Cervidae.
GUGUCUUGUCAUUGUCCUUACACUCGGAAUGACAACGCCAUCUACCUCACCCUGAAAAUGUGAAGAUUAGAUCAGGCAAUGGACUUGGCAUCGGCUCAGAAUACUGCUUUUGCCAGCACACUGUGAACAAAGCCAUCCCACUGGGACUGAUUCCCAGUCACUAAGCUCAUAAUCCCAUAUAAAAAUCAAAGUAAAGAGGUCAGUAUGAAUGGGCACUUGCCCAUGCAGACAGACAUAAGCAUGGAAGCUAGAGUGAAACAGAAGUCUGUUCGAUGCAUGAGGUUAUCACAACAAUAAAAUUGACAUCUAGGGGAAAAUUGAAAGAUAUGAAGGUUGCUAAACUGUGACCAAGAAGUAGCUAGGCCCACUUAAUAUCAUUUUCAAGUUAUUUAUUCAAUAAUUAAGGUAAUUAUCAAUUUUCACUUUUUCAUUUGUUCAUUGGCAUUUAUUCACUUGUAUAAAUAAGGCAUAAGGUAUUUCUUUAAUGAACUCACACGUUGGGAAGGAUGAAUUAAAUGAUAAAUGCUCCAUCAUAGGUUGGAUAAUAGGAGAAAGGCACAAACAUAUACCUAUCUUGUAAAAAGAAUGAAUAAAUUACCAAAAAUGGUAAAUGAGUUACAGCAAGUUUCACAGAAUAGUGGAUAUUUGAGUUGUAACUUGAAAGAAAAAUUAGGAGCCAGUAAGGCAAAAAGGAAGGAGAAUUCCAGAGAUGAAAAGAAACUAUGACACAGUUGAGUGAGUGUAAGUUUUGAUUUGAAUGAGUAGUUCUGUGUAUAGAAAAAGGGAAAAGAAGCGGCAGAGGAAGACAGGAGUAAGGGUUAGGAGACUUAGCAGAGUAUACCGAUGAUCCAUGGUUAGAAACUAUCCAAACUCCUAAAUCUUCCAAUGAUAUACACCAUAGAGCCAAGACAGAAGUACUAGAUAUUUACACAGUGUUCACCUCGUGGGUGACAGAGAGGGGUGGAUGUGUCAUGACUUUAUCUGUUAGAUGAAGCAAUUGUUGCCCAGAUUCAAGGGAGAUAUUCAACUUUGUAUGGUGAGAGGAUGACCCAUAAAGAUCGUUCAGAUCAUCUGAGACUACUGCCACCAUUUUACCACUAGUGUACCCACCCCCACUGCCUGGGGGUUCUUGAGAGUUUAGAACAUUUAUUUUUUUUCAUACAAAUUUAAAGGUUUGAUAGGGAUUACAUUGAGUCUGUGGAUUGCCUUGCAAUCCCUAUCAGUUACCAAUGGCAUUUUUUCACAGAGCUAGAACAAAAAAAUUUUAAAUCUGUAUGGAAACACAAAAACCCUGAAUAGCCAAAGCAAGCCUGAGCAAAAGAGCUUGAGGAAGUAGGCUCCCUGACUUCAUACAAUACUACAGUCAUCUAAACAUGAUACUAGCACAAAACAGAAAUGUAGAUCAUGGAACAGAUUAGAAAACUCAGAAAUAAGCCCACGCACCUAUGGUCAAUGAAUCUGUGACAAAGGAGGCAAGAAUAGACAAUGGAGAAAAGAGUCUCUUCAAUAAGUAGUGCUAGGAAAAUUGGACAGAUACACGUCAAAAACAGAAAAUUAGGAUGUUCUUUAGCACCAUACAAAAAAUAAACUCAAAAUGGAUAAAAUACGUAAAUAUAAGGCCAGACAUUAAAACACCUAGAGGAAAACAUGGGCAGAACACUCUGUCACAUAAACCGCAUAUCUUUUUGCGAUUAAUCGCCAUAUCUUUUUUGAUCCACCUCCUAGACUAAUGAUAAUAAAAGCAAAAAUAAACAAACUGGGCCAAAUUAAACUUUAAAUCUUCACGGCAAAGGAACCAUGAACAAAACAAAAAGACCACCCAUGGAAUGGGAGGAAAUAUUUGCAAAUAA